GAUGGUACAAAGGGCUGCAAAACCGUGAGGUCGAGCCAAUCCCAUAAAACCAUUCUCAGUUNGGAUUGUAGGCUGCAACUCGCCUACAUGAAGCUGGAAUCGCUAGUAAUCGUGGAUCAGCAUGCCACGGUGAAUACGUUCCCGGGUCUUGUACACACCGCCCGUCACACCACGAAAGUUUGUAACACCCAAAGUCGGUGGGGUAACCUUUAUGGAGCCAGCCGCCUAAGGUGGGACAGAUGAUUGGGGUGAAGUCGUAACAAGGUAACC
RNAcentral lists this ribosomal RNA (270 nucleotides) under unidentified soil organism R6-62. Its description in RNAcentral is "partial 16S ribosomal RNA". It matches the Rfam family "Bacterial small subunit ribosomal RNA", at positions 1233 to 1501 of the family's 1533-position model. The record is from RNAcentral.